Molecule: ribosomal RNA, 195 nt
Filed under: Triticum aestivum (bread wheat)
Lineage: Eukaryota; Viridiplantae; Streptophyta; Magnoliopsida; Poales; Poaceae
Description: partial small subunit ribosomal RNA
Source: RNAcentral
AUCACACCUAGCGUAAACACUGCGAAUGCAUCUUCAAUGUUGGCUGGAUCUCGAAUGUCUUCAUCAAGAAGAUCAAUUGACAGGCCAUACUCUUGAUACUGUCUCCAUGCCCAUUCUGCCAAGCAGUACUCCAAGCCUCCAUCAUUUGCCACCCUCCCCGUUGUGAGCUCCAACAGAACCACUCCGAAGCUGUAG